GGAGGGGUGCCGGAGCGGUCGAACGGGGCGGUCUCGAAAACCGUUAGGGGUGCAAGCCUCUCGAGGGUUCAAAUCCCUCCCCCUCCG
Molecule: transfer RNA, 87 nt
Filed under: Rubrobacter sp.
Lineage: Bacteria; Bacillati; Actinomycetota; Rubrobacteria; Rubrobacterales; Rubrobacteraceae
Also listed under: 3 other names
Description: tRNA-Ser
Rfam family: tRNA
About the family: Transfer RNA (tRNA) molecules are approximately 80 nucleotides in length. Their secondary structure includes four short double-helical elements and three loops (D, anti-codon, and T loops). Further hydrogen bonds mediate the characteristic L-shaped molecular structure. tRNAs have two regions of fundamental functional importance: the anti-codon, which is responsible for specific mRNA codon recognition, and the 3' end, to which the tRNAs corresponding amino acid is attached (by aminoacyl-tRNA synthetases). tRNAs cope with the degeneracy of the genetic code in two manners: having more than one tRNA (with a specific anti-codon) for a particular amino acid; and 'wobble' base-pairing, i.e. permitting non-standard base-pairing at the 3rd anti-codon position.
Source: RNAcentral